CGGCCUCACCAACCCCACCCCCCGCCGCAUCUACUCUCCGUCGGCAACCACGCGCCACCGCUGGCCCCCGGAGGACCCACCGCGCUCCUCCCCCACCCGGAUUUCGUCCUCUCUCGCCGCCAACGGCACCUAAGUCGGCAGAUCUAUGGCCCCUCGUCAUCGGCGGCGGAUUCGAUGCAUCCCAGCCGCCGGCGCCAUCACGUUUUCGAUGGAUCCGACGGGGACUGAACCACGCAGCCCCCUCAACCACUCUGCGCCGCAUCUCGGUAUGUCCUCUCGGCGCUCGGAUCUCACUCAUCAACCUACCAACGGCAGAGCCAUGUCUGGCCGUCGCCUGGGCUCAGCACUAGUCCAGCGGCUCGUCGGCUCGCUGCUGCCGGUCAUCAAGUGUGACCACUACCCGCGGCUGGUGCUGCGCCGAGUUUCAAGCACGCCGAAACAUCCUGGAUGAGUGUUCUUCAAAUGCGAAAACAACGGGGAAGGAUGCAAGUUUUGGUAUUGGGAAGAAGAAUACAUCAAUCUAUUGGUAGGGAGAAAUUUGCUAGAUGUUCGUACACUACUUGCUAGAGUUGAGACUAUAGAGACGACGCGAUGUCCAAUUGUGUGUAGGCGGAGAAGAACAAAGUGUGCAAGCUCAAGAAGUCGAUAGAGAAAAGCAAUAAUGUGGGCACUGAAGAUAUAGAGAAAGUAUUAAACGAACCAGUGGGAGCAGUUAGGGCACUUGGAUUUCUAUUAAAGUGUCUAAUUAUUCUUGUAGUUUUCUUCGGUCGGUUCUCUUAGAGAAGACUUGGUGAAAUGUGUAACCAUCAUGUCGUUUAAUAAAGUAAUAUAAGAGAAGUUUAUUUCGGUUGCCGGAAAUUAAAUGAAUUUGAUAAAAACAAAAUUUUACUCUGAAUUUAGGGGAUCGGCUAGAAACGACCAAAACUUAGAGGAGUAAAAAUACUCCACUAAGGUUUACACGGCCAUUUACUCCUCUAAAAUUUAGGGGAUCGGCUAAAGAUGCUCUUACAAAGGUUGGAGUUGGUGGUGAGUUCACAUGUGAGACCAACAAUCUUUGUCAAUAAACAAAUGCAUGCCUACCCACAUGUGGGACUAGCAACCUUCGAAGAUACAUACAUAAACAAAUGUGCUUUUAGUCACAUGUGGGAACUAACACAAAUAAACAAAUA
Long non-coding RNA from Aegilops tauschii subsp. strangulata, 1169 nucleotides. RefSeq lists it as uncharacterized. The record is from RefSeq and is a predicted model, not a curated record. NCBI's taxonomy places the organism in Eukaryota, Viridiplantae, Streptophyta, Magnoliopsida, Poales, Poaceae.